RNAcentral lists this ribosomal RNA (1410 nucleotides) under Pediococcus acidilactici. Its description in RNAcentral is "bacterial SSU rRNA". It matches the Rfam family "Bacterial small subunit ribosomal RNA", at positions 65 to 1436 of the family's 1533-position model. Lineage: Bacteria; Bacillati; Bacillota; Bacilli; Lactobacillales; Lactobacillaceae. The record is from RNAcentral.
AACUUCCGUUAUUGAUUAUGACGUGCUUGCACUGAAUGAGAUUUUAACACGAAGUGAGUGGCGGACGGGUGAGUAACACGUGGGUAACCUGCCCAGAAGCAGGGGAUAACACCUGGAAACAGAUGCUAAUACCGUAUAACAGAGAAAACCGCCUGGUUUUCUUUUAAAAGAUGGCUCUGCUAUCACUUCUGGAUGGACCCGCGGCGCAUUAGCUAGUUGGUGAGGUAACGGCUCACCAAGGCGAUGAUGCGUAGCCGACCUGAGAGGGUAAUCGGCCACAUUGGGACUGAGACACGGCCCAGACUCCUACGGGAGGCAGCAGUAGGGAAUCUUCCACAAUGGACGCAAGUCUGAUGGAGCAACGCCGCGUGAGUGAAGAAGGGUUUCGGCUCGUAAAGCUCUGUUGUUAAAGAAGAACGUGGGUGAGAGUAACUGUUCACCCAGUGACGGUAUUUAACCAGAAAGCCACGGCUAACUACGUGCCAGCAGCCGCGGUAAUACGUAGGUGGCAAGCGUUAUCCGGAUUUAUUGGGCGUAAAGCGAGCGCAGGCGGUCUUUUAAGUCUAAUGUGAAAGCCUUCGGCUCAACCGAAGAAGUGCAUUGGAAACUGGGAGACUUGAGUGCAGAAGAGGACAGUGGAACUCCAUGUGUAGCGGUGAAAUGCGUAGAUAUAUGGAAGAACACCAGUGGCGAAGGCGGCUGUCUGGUCUGUAACUGACGCUGAGGCUCGAAAGCAUGGGUAGCGAACAGGAUUAGAUACCCUGGUAGUCCAUGCCGUAAACGAUGAUUACUAAGUGUUGGAGGGUUUCCGCCCUUCAGUGCUGCAGCUAACGCAUUAAGUAAUCCGCCUGGGGAGUACGACCGCAAGGUUGAAACUCAAAAGAAUUGACGGGGGCCCGCACAAGCGGUGGAGCAUGUGGUUUAAUUCGAAGCUACGCGAAGAACCUUACCAGGUCUUGACAUCUUCUGCCAACCUAAGAGAUUAGGCGUUCCCUUCGGGGACAGAAUGACAGGUGGUGCAUGGUUGUCGUCAGCUCGUGUCGUGAGAUGUUGGGUUAAGUCCCGCAACGAGCGCAACCCUUAUUACUAGUUGCCAGCAUUCAGUUGGGCACUCUAGUGAGACUGCCGGUGACAAACCGGAGGAAGGUGGGGACGACGUCAAAUCAUCAUGCCCCUUAUGACCUGGGCUACACACGUGCUACAAUGGAUGGUACAACGAGUCGCGAAACCGCGAGGUUUAGCUAAUCUCUUAAAACCAUUCUCAGUUCGGACUGUAGGCUGCAACUCGCCUACACGAAGUCGGAAUCGCUAGUAAUCGCGGAUCAGCAUGCCGCGGUGAAUACGUUCCCGGGCCUUGUACACACCGCCCGUCACACCAUGAGAGUUUGUAACACCCAAAGCCGGUGGGGU